UUCUAUGGCCAUGCCAUCCUGAAGUUGCCUGAUCUCGUCUGAUCUUGGAAGCUAAAAGCAGGAUCGGGCCUGGUUAGUACUUGGAUGGGAGAUCACCUAGGAAAACCAGGUGCUGUAGGUG
RNAcentral lists this ribosomal RNA (121 nucleotides) under Pteropus alecto (black flying fox). Lineage: Eukaryota; Metazoa; Chordata; Mammalia; Chiroptera; Pteropodidae. The record is from RNAcentral.